GUCCACGCCGUAAACGGUGGGCGCUAGGUGUGGGUUUCCUUCCACGGGAUCCGUGCCGUAGCUAACGCAUUAAGCGCCCCGCCUGGGGAGUACGGCCGCAAGGCUAAAACUCAAAGGAAUUGACGGGGGCCCGCACAAGCGGCGGAGCAUGUGGAUUAAUUCGAUGCAACGCGAAGAACCUUACCUGGGUUUGACAUAUACCGGAAAGCCGUAGAGAUACGGCCCCCCUUGUGGUCGGUAUACAGGUGGUGCAUGGCUGUCGU
This 263-nucleotide ribosomal RNA is filed under the name uncultured bacterium. RNAcentral's name for it is "partial 16S ribosomal RNA". It matches the Rfam family "Bacterial small subunit ribosomal RNA", at positions 793 to 1055 of the family's 1533-position model. The record is from RNAcentral.